Molecule: ribosomal RNA, 461 nt
Filed under: Gemella morbillorum
Lineage: Bacteria; Bacillati; Bacillota; Bacilli; Caryophanales; Gemellaceae
Description: bacterial SSU rRNA
Rfam family: Bacterial small subunit ribosomal RNA
Source: RNAcentral
GACGAACGCUGGCGGCGUGCCUAAUACAUGCAAGUCGAGCGAAGUUUUUCUGGUGCUUGCACUAGAAAAACUUAGCGGCGAACGGGUGAGUAACACGUAAAGAACCUGCCUCAUAGACUGGGACAACUAUUGGAAACGAUAGCUAAUACCGGAUAACAGCAUUAACUGCAUGGUUGAUGUUUGAAAGUUGGUUAUGCUAACACUAUGAGAUGGCUUUGCGGUGCAUUAGCUAGUUGGUGGGGUAAAGGCCCACCAAGGCGACGAUGCAUAGCCGACCUGAGAGGGUGAUCGGCCACACUGGGACUGAGACACGGCCCAGACUCCUACGGGAGGCAGCAGUAGGGAGUCUUCCGCAAUGGGCGAAAGCCUGACGGAGCAACGCCGCGUGAGUGAAGAAGGAUUUCGGUUCGUAAAGCUCUGUUGUUAGGGAAGAAAGGAUAUGUAGUAACUAUACAUAUAAG